GAGACACACGUUGAAGUAUUUUGCGGUGAAAUGUUAUGAUGUCUGCAAGGAACUCUCAAAUGGUUGAAGAAAAAUGUGUAUGUCAGAUAAAGAGGGAAGAGAAAACAUUAUUUUUUCCUGUCCCUCAUUGCUUCUGGAUGACUCUCAACACUGAGAAGUAUAUACACUUGACCCACAGGUUUGAAAUGCUCUGCCACCCCCAAGACUGCAAGACCAACCCCUCCACUUCCUCCUCAUCCUUAACUUACCUAAAAUGAAGAUGAUGAGAAUGUACACCUUGAUGAUGAGCCAUUUCCACCUAAUAAAUAAAUUCAUUUUGUACAGAAUAGCACAAGUAUCUGCAUGAGAACUUUGACUAUACAUCCUCACUUCAAAGAUGAAAAUAAAGGUAAACCAUCUGGAAUUCAACUCAGUAGGUAUAUUUUUCACACAAAUGUGGGUAUAGUAAUUCUGAAAGUACUAUCCAUAUAUUGAGAGACUGACAAAAUGAGCAAAUGCAAUAAUGAUGUUAAAGGCUAUUAUUUUUACUGUUGGAAAAGGCAGAAACAGAUACUGAAUUUGGAAAAAGCAGGAAGAAUCCUGUAUUGUUAGAUUUGAAUUAGAUGUAUCUGUAUAAACUCAUGAUUUUUAGUAUACAUAUAUAUAGAUAGAUGGAUAAAAGAUAUAGAUGUAUCAGUAGAUAUUGAUGUGUAUAGUUGUAUAUGUGUUUGUAUGUGUACAUGAAUGCAUGCAUACAUCUAUUUCCUAAUAGAUCUAUACAUACAGGUCCCUACUGAGAUGACCUAGAAGCUGUAACAGUUCAUUAACAAUGAGCAUACUUACUGCUCUAAUCUUAAUUUCUAAAUGCUCUUCUCUAGUAAAGGGAGUCAGGACUCCUUAGAGAAACAGCUGACUCUAGGGCUGGGGCAGGUAAAUGAUAAGAUAAGCCUGUAAUAUGUUGUUAUGCCAGAAAUGAAGGAAGUUGCCAUAGAAUGGUUGGGGGCAUUUCCAAGGGGUCAAAAGUCAGGUUGCCACUCACAACCUGGGAUAACUUGAGCAUUAAAACUAACAAUAAUAGUGUUGAAUUAUAAGUCACUUAAUAAAAUAAAAAUUUAUGAGUUGAUACUGAUGGUAAAUAAAGAAAUAAAAAGAGAAGAAAAAACUUUCUUACAGAAGAGUGGCAACUAAUAAAUAUAGAAGGAUGACAGACUUGAAAAUCACCAUUUUGUAACUAUCAUAGGCAAGAAGCAUCCAAUGAAUAUAAACUAGUGAGUGCAAGGUUGAAAAGAAACAAGGUAUUACACAGUCUGAAAGUAUCUCUCUACAAAUUACUUAUUAAUUCAAUAAAGCUUAACCAAAUAGCACUGUGUGCAAUCUGACAUAAUGUGCCUCCUGAUAGGCUGCACUGAAAAGGAUAAAACAUCGCAUCUGUGAUAUUCCUGCCCAAAAUGCAUAACUGGAAUCUACUCAUGAGGGAACAUCAGACAAAUCCAAAUUGAGAGACAUUCUAUAAAAAUAUGGCCUGAACUAUUCCAAAAAUGACCAUGUUAUGAAAGACAAAGGCUGUAAACUGUUUCACCUUAAUGCAACUAAAUGUGCCAAAAUCUGCCAGACUAUAGGUUACAUAAUAAUGUGUACUAAAUUAAAUAUCCUGUUUGAUAACUAUACUAUAACGAUGUAAAAGAAUGUCCUGUUUUGGCGAGGCAUGGUGGCUCACGCCUGUAAUCCCAACACUUUGGGAGGCCAAGGCGGGCGAUCACGAGGUCAGGAGAUUGAGACCAUCCUGGCUAGCACGGUGAAACCCCAUCUCUACUAAAAAUACAAAAAAAAUUAGCCGGGCGUGGUGGCGGGCGCCUGUAGUCCCAGCUACUCGAGAGGCUGAGGCAGGAGAACAGCGUGAAUCUGGGAGGGGGAGCUUGCAGUAAGCCAAGAUCGUGCCACCGCACUCCAGCCUGGACGACAGAGCCAGACUCCAUAAAAAAAAAAAAA
This 1968-nucleotide long non-coding RNA is filed under the name Homo sapiens (human). Its description in RNAcentral is "HSALNT0075838". The record is from RNAcentral. Lineage: Eukaryota; Metazoa; Chordata; Mammalia; Primates; Hominidae.